RNAcentral lists this long non-coding RNA (405 nucleotides) under Monodelphis domestica (gray short-tailed opossum). RNAcentral's name for it is "lncRNA (ENSMODG00000048286.1)". Lineage: Eukaryota; Metazoa; Chordata; Mammalia; Didelphimorphia; Didelphidae. The record is from RNAcentral.
CAUUCCCUGGGCCAAGGAAGGCCUGUUGGGAAGAGCUUUGGCUGAAGCUCCAUUCAAGAGGCCAUAAUGUGGGGGAAGGAGGUGGGUAGGAGCCUGAGUGGGGAGACAAGACUGGGAAAAGAUGGAGGAGCUUUACCAGAUGGACUCACUGGGGCUACUUUGCUGCCUUGACAGGGAGCCUGGAGUUCCAGGGAUGACCUUUGAGAGGGACAGACUCCCAGCCCAGAGAGACAACCCUGGCUGGCAGCAUGCUAAGCGUUCUGACAUCUUUGUGUGGUGGCAUUUAUUGUCUGGGUUGGUGGUGAGUUUGCCCUGGAGCUGAUUUCAGGUUCCAGCAUCUUGUCUUAGCUUUUUCCUUUUUGGGAGUUCAAGCCUGACUCCUUCCUCCUUCAUAAUCCAAACCCU